Molecule: long non-coding RNA, 525 nt
Organism: Hyaena hyaena (striped hyena)
Lineage: Eukaryota; Metazoa; Chordata; Mammalia; Carnivora; Hyaenidae
Exons: 4
Source: RefSeq, a predicted model, not a curated record
CUGAGUGGAAGUCAGAUGCUUAACCGACAGAGCCACCCAGGGGCAGAGCACCUGAGUCCCACUUACUUACCCUGUCAAAGGAGGACACUAAGAGCAGAUACUCCACAGGUUCAACGUGAGCAUUCGGGCUGCACGGGGGAGGAAACCAACUCAGGGAUUAAAGCAUCUUUCAGCGCUUCUCAGCUGUGUGGGGAGGCGGCUUUCCUCGGAGGAGCUCCAGACUUUAUCAAGACAGAGAAAUCUUGCUUUUUCUCUUCAAAAUGAAAAUGGACUUGGAGAUCAGUGAACCAAUAGACUUCAGUUCUGGAGAUCAUCAGCAUCUGGUUCGGAAAGCAGCAGAUAGUAACAUCCAGACUGGGCCUAGUCACUCCACAAGUUUACCUUCAUCUGAGCCACAAAGAACUCAUGAAGAACCACAUUCUAAGACUAGAGAGCGAUUGGAUUCCUAUGUGGUACAGAUUUCAGAAGACACCACCCCAGAGGUCAGCAGUUCUUUAGGCAAUUUGUUCUCAGAUUCAUCUGUCC